Molecule: long non-coding RNA, 3700 nt
Organism: Felis catus (domestic cat)
Lineage: Eukaryota; Metazoa; Chordata; Mammalia; Carnivora; Felidae
Exons: 4
Source: RefSeq, a predicted model, not a curated record
CCUGGGCUCUGCCUGCCUGAUAAUUGAACAGUCUCAGACCUCAAGCUCCCUCUCUGUACCCAGUGCUGUUACUUAAACAACAACAACAACAACAACAAAACUUCUCAUUUAUCUUUCCAGGAUCCUAGAAACAAGAAAAUGCAGAAGAAGCCUGAUCUAUAUCCAGCCUGUUCCUUGAGAAGACAGAGUUCAGGAAAUGCUUCCCACAACACCCUCCAUAAAAGCUGACCAAAACAACUCAUUUAACCAACAAGGCCAGAGCGCAAGCAAUGAAACCAGAGAGAACAGCAAGUCUGGUUUAACAAUCUUCCCAAAGGAACAAAGAGGAAAGGCAAUUUGUGCAUUGGGAAUUAAAACUGACGAAAAUGAUUCUGUUUUGGAUUAUCCUGGAUUGUAAGAAUCAAGGACGAAAGCCCCCACCCACCGAAAUGGCUGGUGUGAAAAAGACUAGCCACACCCUGUGUUGGUGAUGAUAUGUCACAAUUAGACACGCGGGCCUCAUCAGGGGGAGUGUAAACCGGUCCAACCAUUUUGGAAACCUGUUUGCAUCUACUUAGAGGUACGUAUAUGCCGCCCCGACCCAGAAAACGCACUCACAGAUCUGUACCCAAGGGAAAUCGGUGCCCGCACCACGCCAAGACAAUGUGCUAGAAUGUUCACUGCAGCUUAGAUCCCAAGAGGCAGAUGCUGGAAACCACACAGGGGUCGGUCAGCAGUGGGACAGGUAAGUGGCAUGGGAUUCAUACGGCGGAAUGCUGCACAACGAUGAAAAAGCACAUAAACUACGCUCCGGUGUGACGGCAUGGAAAAUCUCACAGAUGGAAUGAGUGAACGAAGCAAGACAAACACACAGGGCACAUCUCGUAUGGUUCCUUUCGUGUGAAGUUCAAGAACCGUUGGAAUUAAUACUCAGGGACAGAGGUCAGAGCAGCGGUGAUCUGAACAGGGGGGGUUGAAUAUGGAUUGUCGGGGACCAUGGGGGAACCUCCUAAGGUGCUGGAAAUGUGCCAUGUAAUCUGGGUCAUGUACCCAGAUAUAUACCUAUGGACAAACUCAUCAGCCUUUACACUUAUAAUUUGCUCAUUGAGUGUAUGUUAUACCUCAAUUUAAAAAACAAAAACAAAAAACGAAAAAAAAACCCUUGUAGAGGAAGGUGACACCCAUCUUUGUCUUUGUUCUUAUCCCAGGGGCUCAUUGAGCAGCGAAAACACUGUUCCCACAGUUGGAUAAUUCAGUUCCUUAGAAGAUGAUGAUGGACAGCUCACCGUGUGAGAUAAAAACCAUGGCCAAGCAGGCUGCCCCCGCCACCAGGUUUGACAGGGCCAACGGGCGGAUGAGGCCGCAGCGGUCAACGGUGACGAGGAUGAUGAAGGCCGCCGGGAAUUCAACCAGAGCCGAGUACAAGAAAUCCAGCAAAUGGAAUAAGGUCUUCCGGGAACACUCAGGCAAGUCCCAUCCCACCCAAACAUGGAGACUCGGGCAAAGCGACCUCUCCCUUGUUCCACCCUGACGAGGGGACAGCCGUCCUGACCACGGACGUACAGGCGUAGAGGCCAGCCUUCGUUUAGGGAGACUGGGUGUACUUCCGUGCCACCACAGGAAGUAUACCUGGUGGGCUUCCUGGCCCCGGAAGAGCACUCGGCAAAGAUGAGCAGUAAUUGGCAUCGGCGUCUCCCCAAGGUCAAGUACGCAGAGAGAGCAGAGCAGAUACUGGCCAAGUCUCUCCAGCUGCACAGUGGCGUGGUCCCCCUGUCUUCCGCCCUGUAGCCCACCCCACGACCCAUCCAUGCGUCGUCCAGGGGAGAAUAGCAGUGUCACAGAACAAGGCACCUAGACCGAUGGGGACCGGCUAAGUGGCUCAGAGAGACUUCGGAGAGUUCCACGUGUCCUUUUAGGUGACAUUGUGUGAUUUCGGAGGCUGGACACAUUUUAUGACACGGUGAGAAGAGACCUCGGCUGACGAUAAACUGCUCUUAUCCCGGCAUCUGGAUUGCCCGUCAGCUCCAAAGCCGAGAUCGCGACUGAUGUGUCCCAUUAACAUACCCCCUCGUUUUCUACAGCUGCACGCAGAGAACCACUGGGACGCUCUUAUUUCCAGCCCUGCCUCACUCCCGAUUGGAGAAAAGGGUGAAGGCAACGUGAAGGAAGGCGCUCGCCUGUAGCUUGGUGAGUCCAGAUAAGCCCAGGGGCCCCCUCCGUGCCAGCUAGCCAGUUAAACGGGAACAGUCACAUAUUACUGACAAAGACGUUGAUUUAAGAGAAAGGAAUGGAGAGCCUGGACUUUCCGGUCCCCAAACGGUUCACAAAUGUGCAGGGCUGCCAUCUUUUGGCAGAACCCAUGAACUGCGUGUGCGUGUUAGAAUGGCACGUCCUGGUACUGAGGGGGUCCCGCGUCUACAUCGGACACCGUUCUAAGCUGUUCACACACGUCAUCUCGUGAAUCUGCCAACGCGCCUGUGAGGUGAGUCCUAUCCUGGCCCCACGUGCUGAUGAGGAGGCUGAGUCACGGAUAGCGAGGCCUUCUGGAGUCACACAGCCGGAGUUUCUGCACUGAAGGAGCAGGUGGAGGGAAGGUGUCCGGGGUCAGUGCCUUGGAGGCCAGGGAAGGGAUCUGGUUUUCUCCUCAGUGGACUAGGGAGGCGUGGACAGGGGAGCGACCUGGUCUUUGCCUGCUUUGUGAGCAGCGCCUGGCGGGGGACGGCGGUGGGAGCAGACAGGACAGCUAGGAGGUACCACAGCAGCACAGGCAAGAGAUCACGACCGUCGGGAGGGGAACUGAGAGGGCAGGUGAUGUGAAAUGGCAGAUUCUGAACACAUUUGCAAAAUAGAGCAGAAUUUGCUGAGGGCUUGGGUGCAGGGGUGUGAGAGCAGAGGAGCCGAAGCGCCCCCCCCUUAAGAGGAGUGCGCUAGGGGAUGGAAACGGGGGCGGCGAGUGGUAAGGGGAAGAAGGAAGGAGGGAGACAGGAGGGCACAGGCAGCAGGGGUGUUUGCAAAGGCUCCCGGGACCCAUCGUGGGGCUGGCUGCCGAACUCGGGGACCAACACGGAGGUGUGGCAGGUGACUGAUGCAACGGGAAUGAGCCUGAAUGGUGUCUAAUGCAUUUAGGAGGGAUUCCGUGGAACGGUGGUUGUUCAUUCAGCCUUCAGCAAAUAUUUGUGGGGCUACCAUGUGCCAGGCACCACCCUAUUACUUUGAACCCUUAGUUCUCGUAAAACCUUAUGUGGAAGCGGAAAUGAGUUAACCAGCAGCAGGGGAAGCCCACAGUCCAGCUGUUCAGCCCCAGGUGUUAGAGAAGCAUGUCAACGACAAAGGCCCGGUAGUGGGGAGCCGACCCGAUGUCCUUUGAGGGAAGGGGGUAGAGAACUGCAAGAUGGCAACCUGGAGGGGGGUACAGACCCUGGGGGUGGGCAGGGGGUACAUGGGUGAGUCCAUCGGUGUCCAAGAGUUCCGUAAUCAGUGGAUCAUAAAGACACAGAAACGCUCAGGGCAGGGUCUCUGAAGUCCUAAGGUGUGAGGAAGGGAUCGUCCCCUUUGGAAGCACCAGGAGCCACUGAAAUCACCUUCCGAAGUGAAAUCAAGACUCUUCUGUUCCCAGAAGAUGGACACGUGGGGUUUGAGGCAACCGUGGGAACCCUUCAUCAUGUCUCACUCGUCUUACUGUUAACCUCGCCGACGUAACAUGCUCUUCUUACUAAAAGGA